This 494-nucleotide ribosomal RNA is filed under the name uncultured bacterium. Its description in RNAcentral is "partial 16S ribosomal RNA". It matches the Rfam family "Bacterial small subunit ribosomal RNA", at positions 28 to 507 of the family's 1533-position model. The record is from RNAcentral.
GACGAACGCUGGCGGCGUGCUUAACACAUGCAAGUCGAACGGAAAGGCCUGCUUUCCCUUGUGGAUUGCGGGUGCUCGAGUGGCGAACGGGUGAGUAACACGUGAGUGAUCUGCCCCCAACUUGGGUAUAAGCCUGGGAAACUGGGUCUAAUUACCGAUAGGACUGCAGGGUGGUGCCUGUGGUGGAAAACGAUUUUCUAGUGGUUGGGGAUGAGCUCGCGGCCUGUCAGCUUGUUGGUGGGGUAAUGGCCUACCAAGGCGGCGACGGGUAGCCGGCCUGAGAGGGUGGACGGCCACAUUGGGACUGCGAGACGGCCCAGACUCCUACGGGAGGCAGCAGUGGGUCAUAUUGCACAAUGGGCGGAAGCCUGAUGCAGCGACGCCGCGUGGCGGAUGACGGCCUUCGGGUUGUAAACUCCUUGCGACCGCGAGGAACCCACCUGGACGGAAGGUUGGUGACGGUAGUGGUACAAGAAGCACCGGCUAACUACGUG